Non-coding RNA from Zootoca vivipara (common lizard), 2577 nucleotides. The record is from RefSeq and is a predicted model, not a curated record. Lineage: Eukaryota; Metazoa; Chordata; Lepidosauria; Squamata; Lacertidae.
GGUGGAAGAAGUUAUUACAUGGUUUUCUUGAGUUUUUCAUUUUCUUGUUCCUAAAUAUUUAAAAUAUAUAUAUUUAGAUUUAGUUGUUUUUAGAGUUAGAACUAGUUGCCUUUUGUUACUUGUGUGGAUGUAAAUUAAAUGGCUUAUAAGAUUAAUUUAGAUAGGAUGCUGAGGCUGAAUAGACUUGAUUUGUUCAUUUUCCUUAUUCUUUUAUUUCUAAAUAUUUUACAGAUAGAUUUAGAUUUAGAUUUAGUUACUUUCAGAGUUAGAACUAGUUGCAUUUUGCUAUUUGUUGUGUGGAGAUAUAUAUAUAUGAGAGAGAAUGGUUUAAGGAUGCUAAAGUUGAAUAUUCUUCCAAAAUCUUUCCAAAUACUCAAAAAAAGCUUAAUCCCUAAAAGCUGAGCUUAGAUAGGAUGUUACAGGAAGGGCUAUUCCUUUACUAUACAGGCGAAGUCCUUUAUCAGACAAAAAAAAAAAGAAUGCUGAAGAAGAGGAGACUGGGACCAGGAGAAAACCAACAAGGGACUAACAGAAUGGAGGAGAAGCAACAGGCCUGAGGCUCAGGAAUAACACACAGCAGUAGCAAGUAGGAUCUGCUCCAAGCAAGGCAGAAAAUGAACUGAGACGUCUCCAGGAAAAAAGCUGUUCAUGUGAUCUUUGCCUUCCAAUCAAUAGGGGAGAUCGUAAUCCACUUGGGAUACUUCCUCCUAUGCUCAACUGAGAAUGGGUAUACAAUCUAACUUGCUUAUUGCAUUACCAAGACCCACAUUACAAAAUUUUAAAAAUCUACUACAAAUAGAGCAGAAACAUGUUGCAAGGCAACAUAUAGAAAAUUGGAAGCCUUAAAGGAAACCAAUUCGAUUUAAUUAAUUGCGCCCAGACACAGAAACGUCUAUAUUCCUUAAAUCAGGAGGUUUUUGAGAAGGGACCACAAACCGGCUGCUUGCUAUGGGAAAGGGAUUUGAAAAGGGAUCUAUUUCCUUAGAUGUCCAGAACUGCCUAUGGCAACAUGUUCCACAACAAAAUGUAAGUACAAAUCUUAAGAAAAGCUUCUAUAAAUUUAUGUUCUGUUGGUAUCUGACGUCUAAGGCUUAAGCACAUCUAUAGAUGGGUAAGGAACAUGUUGAAGAGCUGGUAUGUUUUACAUAUUUUGGGCCUUCUAGGCAGCUUCAAAAGAUGACGUGAGAAAUCUAACAGGUUAUGACCAAACAGUUAGUUCCAUUAGUCAUAUUAUUUGUUCAUGAAAAAGGACUGGUUUUAACAAAAUGUUGAAAUGGUAGUCUAUUCAACAACAAUUGCUUUGUGUGUGUUUUAUUUAUGGAUAUUGUGUGAUCUAUUUUGAUUUGCUAUGAUAUCAAUGCUAUGUUGUUUAUGCCAAAAAAUAUAAUAACUAGAGAAUUGGACCCUGUUCAGAGGCACACAUCGAAAGGCCUGGAAUGAAAUGUGAAGCAUCUUCCAACCCAAAUGCUUAUACGAAGUUUGCAUUUCAUCAGCAUUAUUGAUCAUAGCACUCCAGGUUACCUUCUUUUUCUUCUUCUUCUUUUUCUCCUUUGCAACUUGGGCAGCCUUGUGUUGUCUCACCAGCUCUGUGAGGUUGGCCACAUAUUCAUCUGUUUGCUGAAGCAGGUAGGCUAAGCGCUUAUCUUUCUUUUGAUCAAUUAGCUUACGGUACCCUUCUUCAUCUUCAGCCUUUUAAAAAAAAUGCUUUAAAUUAGGAACAACAGUUAUUUAAAACAAAGUGUACCAAACUGCAAUCUACAGAGCUCAGCUGGGUAAAGUUUAUGCCUGAAACAAACCUUGGAGCAAACCUUACCAUCAACCUACGCAUUCUCUCCUUCUCAAUUCUCUCAUUCUCCUUCUUUUGCUCACGCUCAGUAUUGGCAUGGUAAGUGGCCACAGCCUUUGUCAGUUUUUGAAUCUUCCCUGUGACAGAUCGGUGGUAUUCUUUAAAAUCCUUGGCAUGCUGAAGAAUGCUAUUGAGGUACUCCUAAAAGGAAAUGUAAUACAAAAGGGAUUAAUGAAUUUAUACACCUGUGACAGAGCUUCUUAAGAUUGUUGGCAAUCUACAACUCUGAUAUCAGCAAUCACAAAAUGCCCAUUAUAAGUGUAUUCAAUUGCAUCUUGAGCCCAGUGAUAUUCUUAGCUGUUGCAAAUGUUCUGCAGGAUGUUACUGCUUUCAAUAAUUUAGGUUUUCUUCCUCCAGCCAAAAUCUCAAUUUCUGCUUGUCAUUUCCUUUAGUCUUAUCUCCACAAAGCCAGAAGCAGCCAAACAGAAUGCUCAGGUUGAGGCAACCUCCAGGGAAGCCCAAUGUACACCAAGCUGCCCAUAAACCCCUGAUGGGAACACCGAAAUUGUUUGUGAGUACAGUACUUGGAUGAGCACAAGUACCCCCAAGCGCCCUUCAGGAAGAGAGUUGCCAAACACAACAGAGGAAGGAUAGGUGAAGAGGACAAUCCAGGGUCUCUGAAACACCUUGAUUCAAAGUGAGGCCUAGUCCAGGAAAGGCUUUUUUGGGGGGGGGGGAGAAGGUUAAUAAAUAAUUAUAAUAAUAUUAUAAAGAAAUAUAAGAAUAAAUUU